RNAcentral lists this ribosomal RNA (407 nucleotides) under uncultured bacterium. RNAcentral's name for it is "partial 16S ribosomal RNA". It matches the Rfam family "Bacterial small subunit ribosomal RNA", at positions 28 to 526 of the family's 1533-position model. The record is from RNAcentral.
GACGAACGCUGGCGGCGUGCCUAAUACAUGCAAGUAGAACGCAGUUGCGAACGGGUGAGUAACGCGUAGGUAACUGCCUCAUAGCGGGGGACAACUAUUGGAAACGAUAGCUAAUACCGCAUACUGUGAGAUGGACCUGCGUUGUAUUAGCUUGUUGGUGAGGUAAAGGCUCACCAAGGCGACGAUACAUAGCCAACCUGAGAGGGUGAUCGGCCCACCUGGGACUGAGACACGGGCCAGACUCCUACGGGAGGGAGCAGUAGGGGAUCCUCUGCAAUGGGCGGAAGUCUGACCGAGCAACACCGCGUGAGUUAAAAAGGUUUUCGGGUCCUAAAGCUCUGUUUUUAGAGGAGCGGUAUCUAACCAGAAAGGGACGGCUAACUACGUGCCAGCAGCCGCGGUAAUAC